RNAcentral lists this long non-coding RNA (800 nucleotides) under Anas zonorhyncha (Eastern spot-billed duck). RNAcentral's name for it is "lncRNA (ENSAZOG00000009303.1)". The record is from RNAcentral. Lineage: Eukaryota; Metazoa; Chordata; Aves; Anseriformes; Anatidae.
GAGUAGGGGGGGUUUUGGGGGGAAUUUGGGGGAUUUGGGUUAAUUUGGGGGGAUUCGAUCGAUUUUGGGGGUAUUUUUGAGUGGUUUUGGGUCAAUUUUGGGGGGAAUUGGGGGUUUUUGGUCAAUUUGGGGGGAUUCCAUCGAUUUUUGGCAGGUUUGGGGUCAAUUUUGAGCGGUUUUGGGUCAAUUUUGUUUUUUUUGGGGAUUCUUAGGACGAAGAGGAGGAGNNNNNNNNNNUUGGGGGGAAUUUGGGGGAUUUGGGUUAAUUUGGGGGGAUUCGAUCGAUUUUGGGGGUAUUUUUGAGUGGUUUUGGGUCAAUUUUGGGGGGAAUUGGGGGUUUUUGGUCAAUUUGGGGGGAUUCCAUCGAUUUUUGGCAGGUUUGGGGUCAAUUUUGAGCGGUUUUGGGUCAAUUUUGUUUUUUUUGGGGAUUCUUAGGACGAAGAGGAGGAGGAGGAGGAGGAUGAGGAAGGGCCAAGCGGGACGAAGGCCCCGGGGCUGGGCGGGGGGCGGCGCUACGUGCCCCCCCGCCUGGUGCCCGUGCAGUACGGUGGCGCCCAAAAAAAGGAAGGUGGUGGCCAAGAGGGGGAAGGGCAGGCGGCGGGGUGGCCGGAGGAGACGCUGAGCCCCCCCGACAGCCCCCCCCAAAUAAAGGCUGUGUCUGCAGAGGAUUCGUUAGUGCUGGGGUUAAUUAAUGGGGGGCUAAUUGGGGCUGCCAGGCCCCAAGGUGGCCGCCCAGCCCUCACCGUUGUUAUGGUGACAGCCCCAAGAUGGCUGCCCCCAUGGGGACAAGAUGGCCGCCU